This 721-nucleotide ribosomal RNA is filed under the name Candidatus Glomeribacter gigasporarum. RNAcentral describes it as "bacterial SSU rRNA". It matches the Rfam family "Bacterial small subunit ribosomal RNA", at positions 643 to 1370 of the family's 1533-position model. Lineage: Bacteria; Pseudomonadati; Pseudomonadota; Betaproteobacteria; Burkholderiales; Burkholderiaceae. The record is from RNAcentral.
AGAGUAUGGCAGAGGGAGGUGGAAUUCCACGUGUAGCAGUGAAAUGCGUAGAGAUGUGGAGGAACACCGAUGGCGAAGGCAGCCUCCUGGGCCAAUACUGACGCUGAGGCACGAAAGCGUGGGGAGCAAACAGGAUUAGAUACCCUGGUAGUCCACGCCCUAAACGAUGUCAACUAGUUGUUGGGGAUUGCUAUCCUUAGUAACGAAGCUAACGCAUGAAGUUGACCGCCUGGGGAGUACGGUCGCAAGAUUAAAACUUAAAGGAAUUGACGGGGACCCGCACAAGCGGUGGAUGAUGUGGAUUAAUUCGAUGCAACGCGAAAAACCUUACCUACCCUUGACAUGGUCGGAAGUCUGAAGAGAUUUGGGCGUGCUCGCAAGAGAACCGGCGCACAGGUGCUGCAUGGCUAUCGUCAGCUCGUGUCGUGAGAUGUUGGGUUAAGUCCCGCAACGAGCGCAACCCUUAUCCUUAGUUGCUACGCAAGGGCACUCUAAGGAGACUGCCAGUGACAAACUGGAGGAAGGUGGGGAUGACGUUAAGUCCUCAUGGCCCUUACGGGUAGGGCUUCACACGUCAUACAAUGGUCUGUACAGAGGGUGCCAACCCGCGAGGGGGAGCCAAUCCUGAAAAACGGAUCGUAGUCCGGAUUGCAGUCUGCAACUCGACUGCAUGAAGCUGGAAUCGCUAGUAAUCGCGGAUCAGCAUGCCGCGGUGAAUACG